AUUGAACGCUGGCGGCAUGCCUUACACAUGCAAGUCGAACGGCAGCACGGGUGCUUGCACCCGGUGGCGAGUGGCGAACGGGUGAGUAAUACAUCGGAACAUGUCCUGUAGUGGGGGAUAGCCCGGCGAAAGCCGGAUUAAUACCGCAUACGAUCCACGGAUGAAAGCGGGGGACCUUCGGGCCUCGCGCUAUAGGGUUGGCCGAUGGCUGAUUAGCUAGUUGGUGGGGUAAAGGCCUACCAAGGCGACGAUCAGUAGCUGGUCUGAGAGGACGACCAGCCACACUGGGACUGAGACACGGCCCAGACUCCUACGGGAGGCAGCAGUGGGGAAUUUUGGACAAUGGGCGAAAGCCUGAUCCAGCAAUGCCGCGUGUGUGAAGAAGGCCUUCGGGUUGUAAAGCACUUUUGUCCGGAAAGAAAUCCUUGACUCUAAUACAGUCGGGGGAUGACGGUACCGGAAGAAUAAGCACCGGCUAACUACGUG
RNAcentral lists this ribosomal RNA (486 nucleotides) under uncultured bacterium. RNAcentral describes it as "partial 16S ribosomal RNA". It matches the Rfam family "Bacterial small subunit ribosomal RNA", at positions 30 to 507 of the family's 1533-position model. The record is from RNAcentral.